CAAUAGCGUAUAUUAAAGUUGUUGCAGUUAAAAAGCUCGUAGUUGGAUUUGUGGCGUACGGUGUGUUCCGGGCACUUGUUGUCUGAGUAACCUGCUGUUGCCAUCCUUGGGUGGAACCUGUGUGGCAUUAGGUUGUCGUGCAGGGGAUGCCCAUCAUUUACUGUGAAAAAAUUAGAGUGUUCAAAGCAGGCUUAUGCCGUUGAAUAUAUUAGCAUGGAAUAAUGAGAUAGGACUUUUUUGCUAUUUUGUUGGUUUGCGCGAAGAGGUAAUGAUUAAUAGGGACAGUUGGGGGUAUUCGUAUUCCAUUGUCAGAGGUGAAAUUCUUGGAUUUUUGGAAGACGAACUACUGCGAAAGCAUUUGCCAAGGAUGUUUUCAUUAA
RNAcentral lists this ribosomal RNA (380 nucleotides) under uncultured eukaryote. Its description in RNAcentral is "partial 18S ribosomal RNA". It matches the Rfam family "Eukaryotic small subunit ribosomal RNA", at positions 592 to 976 of the family's 1831-position model. The record is from RNAcentral.